Long non-coding RNA from Helianthus annuus (common sunflower), 1508 nucleotides. RefSeq lists it as uncharacterized. NCBI's taxonomy places the organism in Eukaryota, Viridiplantae, Streptophyta, Magnoliopsida, Asterales, Asteraceae. The record is from RefSeq and is a predicted model, not a curated record. The transcript is spliced from 3 exons.
AAUCCAAUCCCGAUCUCAGUUUCAACUCCCCCAAAAAUUUCAAAUGAAUCCCAACCCCUAGCUUCCAAUUUCACACCGUUUUCUACUCUCAGAUUCCUCCAUCAGGACCAUCACAUCCAACUCUCCAAACACCAUCGUUCCCCAGCCCCUCUGUCGCCUCUCCCGCCAUCAUCAGAUUCUAUGACAACGGCGUCAACUCCAUAAACUGAAGUUCCCAAAUUAAAGACCCCAAAUCCUCCUGAUGGUGCGUUUGGCUUCUGAAUCGUGGAUAUUUGGGAUCAAAUUCGUUGGCUUCUGAUUCAUUGGGUGUGAUUAAGCAACGGAAUGGGUUGGAAUUUCAUCAACAAUCGUCCAUUCACAACUGGAUGUGAUGCUCUGGUUUAACCUGAAGUGGAUACACCAGCUAUCAGCUGGAAUCAAAUCUUGGUGAGGCCCAACCUCGGAAAAAGCAAACUUAAUAAAAUAGGAGCUCUACAGGAACAAGUGUGUUGGACCAAGAACAAUCACCAGCAGAUGAUGCAAAUCUUUGUUCUAAAUAGCAGUUUAUGCUGUUCCACUUUGUAGAUUAUUUUGGAAAGUGGUGGUUGCCGGUGAUGAUCUUACUCCAAAGUCCACAACUACAUUGGGUUCUAGUUAUCUACACAUACACCCGAAGUUUCUUCAUUCGAAUGCUACUUCUUACAAAUGGGCAUUUGGUGGUAUGCUGAACUUAACUUGGUCUAUGAAACCGAGUUAAUCUCUUAAUCCAUAAGUUAGUUAGUUAGUUUAGAAUAGAUAGAUUAGAUUUAUUAUUACAAGGCGGUUACAAGCGGUUAUGAAACUAAGGGACCAAAGUUGACAAAGGAGAACUUGGUAACCACCCCACUAAUCGAAGAGGUGUGUCUCUACACACACAUCCCUCUGCGGAUCGAUGCAAGGCAAAGAAGGAAGGGACAUGACGGUUCGGAUUAAUGGCUGAGAAUCAACAUACCUUUUCAAGAUCAAUCUCAACCACACAAUCCAAGAGACAUACCCUUUCACGAAGAGUUGUGUCUUUUCAUUCGUACCUUUUAGAAACUAUAAAUAGAGAUAGUUUGAUUUCAUUUGUAUUCACUACUCUCAUUCGAUUUGUAUGUAUUACACUUAUUCGAUUAUUAUCAAGUUGUUGUUAUUCAAGUUUGUUAUUCACGCUCGUUAGAGAUCAAGAUCCAAGUUCGGGCCAACAAAUUGGUAUCAGAGCAUCAGGCUCUAGGCGUGGGAAUCGCAAGGCAUCGCAGGGAAUUCGCGAUCAGGUUUCAAUUUCGUUUAAAUUCGCAAAGUUUCAAUUUCAGAAUUUAUUUUCGGUUCUAGGAAGUCGGUUGAACCGAACGGUUAGGAAUCUAGGGUUCGUUUGUUUUGAUUCCGGGGUUAUAGUGCGAAUUAGAUUGAUUUGGUUGUUUUGGUUAUUACACGAUUCGGGGAAUCGGGGUUGUUAAGAAUAUAUUGAAACCAAAAGAAAGUUUAUUAGAAAGUGAAGAUUAUUAGGCAGG